RNAcentral lists this ribosomal RNA (478 nucleotides) under uncultured bacterium. RNAcentral's name for it is "partial 16S ribosomal RNA". It matches the Rfam family "Bacterial small subunit ribosomal RNA", at positions 28 to 523 of the family's 1533-position model. The record is from RNAcentral.
GACGAACGCUGGCGGCGUGCUUAACACAUGCAAGUCGAACGGUAAGGCCCUUCGGGGUACACGAGUGGCGAACGGGUGAGUAACACGUGGGUGAUCUGCCCUGCACUUCGGGAUAAGCCUGGGAAACUGGGUCUAAUACCGGAUAGGACCACUGCCUGCAUGGGUGGUGGUGGAAAGCUUUUGUGGUGUGGGAUGGGCCCGCGGCCUAUCAGCUUGUUGGUGGGGUGAUGGCCUACCAAGGCGACGACGGGUAGCCGGCCUGGGAGGGUGACCGGCCACACUGGGACUGAGAGACGGCCCAGACUCCUACGGGAGGCAACAGUGGGGAAUAUUGCACAGUGGGCGCAAGCCUGAUGCAGCGACGCCGCGUGAGGGAUGACGGCCUUCGGGUUGUAAACCUCUUUCAGCACCGACGAAGCGCAAGUGACGGUAGGUGCAGAAGAAGGACCGGCCAACUACGUGCCAGCAGCCGCCGUAA